GAGAGAGGCUAUACCCAAGUUUUAGGUGGUCCAGAUAUAAUGUGCUAUUGUUCCAGGUGACUUUAUUACCAUUAAUUGGUUGAAAUCUAACCUAGUGUUCUGUCAAGCAAAAACUAGUGAUAAUGUGACACAGCAUCAAGUACUGGAAGAAAAGCUCUUGAAAGGAUUUCCCUCCUAAGAGGAAAAUAGUAAAGUUUCUUUCUCAAAGAUACUUGGAUCCCACUACCAUAUUUAUCAAACAAUCAUAGAAGAACGGUAAAACAGAAUCAAUGGCUUCAAAAACUUGGAUAUAAUUGGAUUCAAUCCCCUAUGGUAUUUAGUUACUUAUGCUACAUUCCCUUUUGAAAUUGAUAAAGAACUUGUCCACUAAGGUCCUACAAAUGUUUUAUAAUUUUCUUCUUGUCCAUAUUCUAAUGGAAUUUUUUAAAAAGUCAUUUAUUUUUAAUAAAAGCACAUGGUAAAGUUUUCUUUUUCUUCUUUUUUUAUAUUUUUUUUAUCCUGUAGCAAAGUAUGGCAGAAUCUGCAUC
Molecule: unclassified non-coding RNA, 527 nt
Filed under: Hevea brasiliensis (rubber tree)
Lineage: Eukaryota; Viridiplantae; Streptophyta; Magnoliopsida; Malpighiales; Euphorbiaceae
Source: RNAcentral